This 362-nucleotide ribosomal RNA is filed under the name uncultured bacterium. RNAcentral describes it as "bacterial SSU rRNA". It matches the Rfam family "Bacterial small subunit ribosomal RNA", at positions 29 to 419 of the family's 1533-position model. The record is from RNAcentral.
AACGAACGCUGGCGGCAGGCCUAACACAUGCAAGUCGAACGCCCUAGCAAUAGGGAGUGGCAGACGGGUGAGUAACGCGUGGGAACCUUCCCUGUGGUGCGGAAUAACUCGCCGAAAGGCGUGCUAAUACCGCAUAAGCCCGCAAGGGGAAAGAUUUAUCGCCAUAGGAUGGGCCCGCGUAGGAUUAGCUAGUUGGUGAGGUAAUGGCUCACCAAGGCGACGAUCCUUAGCGGUUUGAGAGAAUGACCAGCCACACUGGGACUGAGACACGGCCCAGACUCCUACGGGAGGCAGCAGUGGGGAAUCUUGGACAAUGGGCGCAAGCCUGAUCCAGCCAUGCCGCGUGAGUGACGAAGGCCUUC